AGGAUGGCGGGCGGAGCUGGUUCGCCCGAUCCGUGAGGGUGGGGCGUCGUAAGAGGGAACCCGGUGCGAGACCGGGACUGCCCCGCAGCGGUGAGUGGGAACGACCGCCGUCACCAGAGCACUGGACCGCGAGGUCUGGGAAGCGACGGCCAGUAGGCGACCAGGUGUCACGCCCACGAGUCCGAAGACCUGCCAGCGCUGCGCACACCGC
This 211-nucleotide non-coding RNA is filed under the name Micromonospora rosaria. Lineage: Bacteria; Bacillati; Actinomycetota; Actinomycetes; Micromonosporales; Micromonosporaceae. The record is from RNAcentral.